GCGACUUGUGCGGAUCACUUUUUCUUACUGUGCACUGGGGGCAAAUCCUCAAACGUGAACCUGAUCACUUGUCACAGAAGCAACUUGCCAUGAAAUCCGCUAAUGCGCCGCGACUCGCCCACCCGGAUAGAUAACCCCCGCAGUGGUGUAACCAGCGCGCGCGCCCAAAGCCGUCUUGUCCCUCGAAUGCGCUCACCGCCGGCAACACUUGGAGAAUCCAGCCCACAGUGGUUUCGAAAACCCCAUUUUCCUGAUUGCAGCUCAGACUGUGGAACCCCGAGAGCCUCCCCAAAGAGGGAGCGUGAAUCGGGCCAAGUAGUGGGUCGGGGACACACACGCACGCACGCACGCAUAUGCACACAGAGGCAGAGCAGUGCUUCAUAGGACCUAAGAUCCAGGGUGGCUGGAAAGGGAUCUGGGAGGCCACGUCUGAAGGAGCCAGCAAGGCCCUGGUGCUGCCUCUGCCAGAGUCGUGCAGCCACUGAAGCAGCCUGAUCCUGAUAGUUAUUUUGGGGGGAAAAACACCUGGAACCCAGGUUUGAGCUAAAGAAAGUAAGGGCAAGUGACAGAUGAUCAAGCAUUUCUUUGAAAUGAGGAAGAACUGAGAACUACCCAGCUGGCCUGGCCUUAGGGCAAACUGGACCUUAGGAAACUACUCUCUUCGCACACACAGCAGCACACAUCCUCCGAUGGCAAGUUCACCGGUGCCCAGCAAGGGCCACUGCACCUCCUAACUGCUUUUUCAGCCUCCUCCAGGUUUUGCCAGGCAAAUGAAACAAGAACUCAAUAGUAAAUUAUUUUGUUCAGACUUCUGUCUUUUUAUGAAAAUAAAAGGCAACACUUUGUCAUUUUUAAUCAUAUAAGCAGACAAUAAACCUAAUCUUGAUAUUGAUUUUUCCAGAAUCAAGUGAUUUUGUGCAGUGUCUGUUUUAUUUCCUUUCUGAGGAAGAGCUGUUUGUUGGUAGAUGGUGUGGCUCUAAGACUGCACUCCAGUGGGCAGGUGCUUAUCUGAAACAUGUAGCUGAUUGUGGACUUUGAAGCGAGAUAGCUAAAAUGGGGUUCUGCCUGGGUGGCAGGAAGUUUGGUUUUUGUCUAGUUAUUGAGAUAAUGGUUUCAACCUCUGGUGCACUAGGAUAGAUUUAAGACUCAGCUAGUGCUUUUAGAAGUUAUGGCCUCAG
This is a long non-coding RNA of Bos taurus (domestic cattle), 1178 nucleotides long. The record is from Ensembl. Lineage: Eukaryota; Metazoa; Chordata; Mammalia; Artiodactyla; Bovidae.